This 497-nucleotide ribosomal RNA is filed under the name uncultured bacterium. RNAcentral's name for it is "partial 16S ribosomal RNA". It matches the Rfam family "Bacterial small subunit ribosomal RNA", at positions 28 to 507 of the family's 1533-position model. The record is from RNAcentral.
GAUGAACGCUGGCGGCGUGCCUAAUACAUGCAAGUCGAGCGAACAGAUAAGGAGCUUGCUCCUUUGACGUUAGCGGCGGACGGGUGAGUAACACGUGGGUAACCUACCUAUAAGACUGGAAUAACUCCGGGAAACCGGGGCUAAUGCCGGAUAACAUUUAGAACCGCAUGGUUCUAAAGUGAAAGAUGGUUUUGCUAUCACUUAUAGAUGGACCCGCGCCGUAUUAGCUAGUUGGUAAGGGAACGGCUUACCAAGGCAACGAUACGUAGCCGACCUGAGAGGGUGAACGGCCACACUGGAACUGAGACACGGUCCAGACUCCUACGGGAGGCAGCAGUAGGGAAUUUUCCGCAAUGGGCGAAAGCCUGACGGAGCAACGCCGCGUGAGUGAUGAAGGUCUUCGGAUCGUAAAACUCUGUUAUUAGGGAAGAACAAAUGUGUAAGUAACUGUGCACGUCUUGACGGUACCUAAUCAGAAAGCCACGGCUAACUACGUG